Long non-coding RNA from Acanthaster planci (crown-of-thorns starfish), 374 nucleotides. Lineage: Eukaryota; Metazoa; Echinodermata; Asteroidea; Valvatida; Acanthasteridae. The record is from RefSeq and is a predicted model, not a curated record.
UCAAAGAGGGCUAAAAUUCUGGACGGCCAUUUCUAUAUUCAUCCACCCUUUACCGUUUCUGUUCCCGCCUAAAAGUCUCAAUAUAUUGGGUCAUAAACGACUCUGGAAUUGUCAAAAUUUGGCAAUCUCUGUGGCACAUGAAAGGGCACAUGCUGUUCUAUCCAAUGAUGUCCUUUCCAUACCCAAAGAUGUCUGCAUAUAAUUUGUCCUUAAUGACCAAGGAAUUUUUAAGGGCACACGUUACUCAAUCCCAUGAUGUCAUAAAUGACACGGAGAUCGUUCAAAUCUGGCCAUUUCGGUGGCAUCUGAAAGGGCACAUGUUACUCAAUCCAAUAAUGUAAGUUUCGUAUUCUUGUUUGAUUUAGGGAUAUAUU